GUUAUCUUCUCCCCUCCAGAUAGGGCAUUCCACUGUGCUCCGUGUCAAAUCACAGAUUAAUAAUAACAGUGUGUUAGGAUGAUUUGUGAUGAUCUGCAGGGAAAAUGCUGCUGAGGGGGAUGAGUAUUUGUCUAACGAUGAAGAAGAGAUUGGUCUUCAAUUCGGUUGGUUUCUAUUUUUCGACGUCAUGCAGAUGGGAAAGAUUGUGAGCUCGAUUAAUUUCAAAUAAGGGUUGCAUUAUUAUGAACCCUCCCAAAGACAUGGAUAAAGUCGAUACCCAUACAUGUGUUUCAUUCUCCGCAAAUAGCCCUGUAGUGGUGAGUCGGUUGGGCGAGCGGAGCAGACUCGCAGAUAAAGGAGCUAUUAGUCUGUUUGUUUUUUAGGGUGAGUGUUUUUGUGGUACAAUUUUGUUAGCCCUG
Malania oleifera is the source of this 419-nucleotide long non-coding RNA. RefSeq lists it as uncharacterized. Lineage: Eukaryota; Viridiplantae; Streptophyta; Magnoliopsida; Santalales; Ximeniaceae. The transcript has 3 exons. The record is from RefSeq and is a predicted model, not a curated record.